AAAUUGCAGAUUUUGAGGUAAAAAUUUCAGAUUUUGGUGUCUGGGGGCAGAUUUUGGGGUGUGGGAAGAAUUUCUGAGGUAAAAAUUGCAGAUUUUGAGGUAAAAAAAUGCAGAUUUGGGGGCGAAAAGGCAGAUUUUGGGGUUUGGGAGGAAUGUCUGAGGUAAAAAGUUGCAGAUUUUGAGGUAAAAAUUGCAGGUCUUGGGCCUAAAAGGCAGAUUUUGGGGUGAAAAAGGCAGAUUUUGGGGUGAAGAGAAAAUUUCUGAGGUAAAAAUUGCAGAUUUGGGGGCAAAAAUGUCAAUUUUGGGGUGAAAAAUGGCAGAUUUGGGGGUAAAAAUGUCAAUUUUGGGGUGAAAAGUGGCAGUUUUGGGGUGAAAACGGUCCGAUUUGGGGGUAAAAAUUGCAGAUUUGGGGUGAAAAGGGUCAGAUUUGGGGGUAAAAAUUGCAGAUUUGGGGUGAAAAGUGGCAGAUUUGGGGGUAAAAAUGUCA
Molecule: long non-coding RNA, 487 nt
Organism: Empidonax traillii (willow flycatcher)
Lineage: Eukaryota; Metazoa; Chordata; Aves; Passeriformes; Tyrannidae
Exons: 4
Source: RefSeq, a predicted model, not a curated record